CAGUCGCCGCGGUAAUACAGAGGGUGCGAGCGUUAUCCGGAUUUAUUGGGUUUAAAGGGUCCGUAGGCGGAUCUGUAAGUCAGUGGUGAAAUCUCACAGCUUAACUGUGAAACUGCCAUUGAUACUGCAGGUCUUGAGUAAAUUUGAAGUGGCUGGAAUAAGUAGUGUAGCGGUGAAAUGCAUAGAUAUUACUUAGAACACCAAUUGCGAAGGCAGGUCACUAAGAUUUAACUGACGCUGAUGGACGAAAGCGUGGGGAGCGAACAGGAUUAGAUACCCGUGUAGUCCCUGUCUCUUAUAC
RNAcentral lists this ribosomal RNA (301 nucleotides) under uncultured bacterium. RNAcentral describes it as "partial 16S ribosomal RNA". It matches the Rfam family "Bacterial small subunit ribosomal RNA", at positions 509 to 807 of the family's 1533-position model. The record is from RNAcentral.